CCAACCCCUAACCCCUUUAACAUCCUUCCACCUCCUCAGUACUAUUAAACACAAUUGCAUCCAAACCACACCCUUCAUUCUUACUCCUAGCCAUUAAUUUCUCCACACACUCCGUCCCCGCCCACCGCGUAUGAAAUGAUUUGUUUUGUUUUUUUGCCUAAAUUUAUUGUGCAGAUAAAUAAAAAUUUAUUCAAAUACAUCAUAGAAACAACAUUUUGAAUAAGUCAUUUUAUUCCCAAAAAUCACUCUCAUAUUGAAUGAAAAGACUAUAAACACCGUUAGGUAUAAAGAAAAAAAAAAUCAUUAAUAACAAGACGAAAAUAAAGCCAAAUUUUGAAUAUCACGCAAACAAAUUCGAAAUCCACAUAAUUUUAGCUAAUUACUUGGAAAUAAAGCAGCAAAACAUCAUCAUAACCGUGUCGCAGCAAAGAAAGCCACCAACCCGUUCAAAGACAGAUCCCGUAAAAAUUCUGGCCCCAUUGGCGAUUCUUCCAGCCCAAUUACUAACGAAAACGGGCACAAAACUCUCCUGCCCCUUCCGAACCUGAGCGAUUACACCAUUCUACUUGGAAUCGCCACCGGAGGAAUUAAAACCCAGACUCUCUUCAGAUUUCUGAUGAAGGAAUCAUUUAGGAGCUUUGAAUCAUUCCCAAGAGUUGAGAUCGUGAAAGUUGGGUCAAUUGGGGAUAAAGGGGAAAUCGGAGAUGAUGGAGUCGAUCGAGGAGUCUUAGCAAUAGGGUUUUUGAUUUGAGAAUUUUAAGAGGAAGAAGAAGCACGCAACUGAUCUUGUUUUGAUUUGGUUCUGUUUUUUAUUUUAUUUUAUUUUUU
RNAcentral lists this long non-coding RNA (828 nucleotides) under Panax ginseng (ginseng). RNAcentral describes it as "long non-coding RNA (PGIN_LNC009203)". Lineage: Eukaryota; Viridiplantae; Streptophyta; Magnoliopsida; Apiales; Araliaceae. The record is from RNAcentral.